GCAGGGUGUUGAGCAACCUCCCUGGCCUCCACCUUCUAGAUGCAAAUAGCACCCCCACCCCCCCAAGUUGUCACAACCAAAUAUGUCUCCAGACAUUGCCUAAUGUCUCCUGGGGGGCAAAACCGCCUUCGUUGAUAAUCCCUGACUUAGGGAAACUAAUAAAAAUAUUUGGCCUCGAGAAAAGCAAAAUAUAGAGAUGUAAACAGCAAGGUCCCAUUUCUGCGGAGCAAACAAUAAUGCAUGUGGGAGGGUCAGGGUAUCCACACGUGGCCAGAGAACAGGGCCGGGGGUGACCCACCAGCCUGUCCACAUCGGUUCUCAGGGGAGAGAGGGGAGGCAAGGAAUAUUCCAAAGGUUGUUUUUAAAAAGUGUCCAUGAGUAAACAUCAUGCAUAAUAUUUCACUUAUGUGACAUUAAACACAUGCAUGGAUGUAGACAGAUGUAUAAAAAGCUGUCGAUGGAAAAGUUAGUGGAGUGUCUCCGGUGGUGGAAACUUAGGUGACAGGAUGGGUGUCAUAUCUGCGCCUUGUACGGAGAAAGCAGUUUUCAACCCUAAAAUGGACAGCUCCCGGGGCAGAAAUGCGGAUGUUUUUCUAUACUCUCUGUGUAGCACUGUUACAGCCUGCCCUGGCUGCACUCCUGAAGGCACUCACUUUCAAAUGAUCCCGCUCCAUCAUCUACAGUGCUCUUGGCUCACAUCUCCCGUUGGGGUUUCUUUCGCUGCGUGCGCGGCUGUGUUUUACGCCCUCCCAUAGGGCAUCUUUAAGGAGGCGGGGCUUGGCCUUUCUCCUUCAUUCUUGGCCUACACACCUGUCACUCCUUUUGCCUCCCCUCCCACGCAGGCACCCCUCGGGGCAAAGGCAGCCUUGAGCCAGGGCUCCCACCUUGCAAGCCUGCCUGGAUCUGAAGCCCUGCUCCCUGCUCGGCAGAACACCAGCCUUCACAGACCGGGCAGCAGUCUCAACACCAACCCUUGCAGCUCCCAUCCCGUCUAGAGUCACUCCAGAAAGAAAGGAGGGAGGGGGGUGGCUGUCCUGGGGGUGAACUGGAAGCUCAUGAAGUCAUCGGCUUGAGGAGACUGCCACAUCUAAAAUAUCUGGGGGCAGACACGUGGACUGGAAGCACAUAGAGCCUUCCUCUGGGGGUGGCUCUGGGACAGCAGCAAUGUCACCCUUGUGCCCGGAAGCCUCUGAGACCUUGUCCCACAUGGACUCUGGAAUGGCACUGCUUCUCCUCCUUGUGGCCUGCUUCUCCUCCUUGUGGCCGUGUUUCACCUCCCGUUGACCCAGAAGGGUCUCCCAUCCUGCCAGGGCGGGUUCAAGCAGGGCCCCGUGCCCUCCUACCAGGAGGGAGGGUUCAGGGAGCAGCUCCCACAGCAGUCCGCACCCCAGGAUUCCCCAGAGUCCACACACCUGAGCUCUACCUUCCUCUUCUCCUCCACGCUCGCCCACCUGUCUGCCUCCUACAACUCCCGGAACCGGCUCUCCUGGGUCCUGGGUUAGACUUGGUUCCCGUGAAAAACAAAGGACCGAGAGAGAUGGGCAAAACCAGCUCCCCAGACUCAGAUAAACCAGGUACGUGACUUGUGCACGAUUGCUGAACCUCUCCCAUCUCCACUUCCUUCUUUGGAAAACAGGAUCCUACUAGCAGUCCUGUCUAGAGGAGUUCAUAGGAAGGCGUCCAGCACACGGCAA
Molecule: long non-coding RNA, 1694 nt
Organism: Equus caballus (horse)
Lineage: Eukaryota; Metazoa; Chordata; Mammalia; Perissodactyla; Equidae
Source: Ensembl